This 75-nucleotide transfer RNA is filed under the name Devosia enhydra. Its description in RNAcentral is "tRNA_Lys_TTT". It matches the Rfam family "tRNA". From Rfam's summary of the family: Transfer RNA (tRNA) molecules are approximately 80 nucleotides in length. Their secondary structure includes four short double-helical elements and three loops (D, anti-codon, and T loops). Further hydrogen bonds mediate the characteristic L-shaped molecular structure. tRNAs have two regions of fundamental functional importance: the anti-codon, which is responsible for specific mRNA codon recognition, and the 3' end, to which the tRNAs corresponding amino acid is attached (by aminoacyl-tRNA synthetases). tRNAs cope with the degeneracy of the genetic code in two manners: having more than one tRNA (with a specific anti-codon) for a particular amino acid; and 'wobble' base-pairing, i.e. permitting non-standard base-pairing at the 3rd anti-codon position. Lineage: Bacteria; Pseudomonadati; Pseudomonadota; Alphaproteobacteria; Hyphomicrobiales; Devosiaceae. The record is from RNAcentral.
GUGCCGGUAGCUCAGCGGUAGAGCAUCCGACUUUUAAUCGGAUGGUCGAGGGUUCGACCCCCUCCCGGCAUACCA